UAUGUACUUCCUUCGUCUUAAAUUUUUGUCUUUGAUUUGUCCAGAUAUAAAUGUAUUUAGUCAUGUAUUAAUAUUUUGAUACAUCCAAUUUUAGAAAAUCCUAAGACAAUAAUUUUAAGACGGAGGAAGUAUUAU
Molecule: microRNA precursor, 135 nt
Filed under: Hordeum vulgare
Lineage: Eukaryota; Viridiplantae; Streptophyta; Magnoliopsida; Poales; Poaceae
Description: microRNA MIR1122
Rfam family: MIR1120/MIR1122 microRNA precursor family
Source: RNAcentral